Molecule: ribosomal RNA, 465 nt
Filed under: uncultured bacterium
Lineage: Bacteria
Description: bacterial SSU rRNA
Rfam family: Bacterial small subunit ribosomal RNA
Source: RNAcentral
CCUACGGGAUGCACCAGUGGGGAAUAUUGCACAAUGGGCGCAAGCCUGAUGCAGCCAUGCCGCGUGUAUGAAGAAGGCCUUAGGGUUGUAAAGUACUUUCAGUUGGGAGGAAGGCGUUGAUGCUAAUAUCAUCAACGAUUGACGGUACCAACAGAAGGAGCACCGGCUAACUCCGUGCCAGCAGCCGCGGUAAUACGGAGGGUGCAAGCGUUAAUCGGAAUUACUGGGCGUAAAGCGCACGCAGGCGGUUGAUUAAGUUAGAUGUGAAAUCCCCGGGCUUAACCUGGGAAUGGCAUCUAAGACUGGACAGCUAGAGUCUUGUAGAGGGGGGUAGAAUUCCAUGUGUAGCGGUGAAAUGCGUAGAGAUGUGGAGGAAUACCGGUGGCGAAGGCGGCCCCCUGGACAAAGACUGACGCUCAGGCGCGAAAGCGUGGGGAGCAAACAGGAUUAGAUACCCGCGUAGUC